Molecule: long non-coding RNA, 102 nt
Organism: Sinocyclocheilus grahami
Lineage: Eukaryota; Metazoa; Chordata; Actinopteri; Cypriniformes; Cyprinidae
Exons: 3
Source: RefSeq, a predicted model, not a curated record
GAAAGGCUUUCUGACUCAGUUGGGACUCGGACCGGGGACCUUCUUGCUGUGAAGAGACAGUGCUUCCCACUGAGCCACUUGUUCUGCCUCUAACUCUGUUUG